AUUGAACGCUGGCGGCAGGCCUAACACAUGCAAGUCGAACGAGUGGCGGACGUGUGUGUAAUGUCUGGGACAUUGCCCGUUGGAGGGGGUUAACUACUGGAAACGUUAGCUAAUACGCCAUACCUUCGGAUUGGCCUAGAUGGGAUUGGUUUGUGGGUGGGGUAAAGGCUCACCUAGGCGACGGUCCCGAGCUGGUCUGAGAGGAUGAGCAGCAACACGGGAACUGAGAAACGGUCCAGAAUCCUACGGGAGGCAGAAGGGGGGAAUAUUGGACAAUGGGCGAAAGCCGGAUGCAGAAAGGCCGCGUGGAUGAGGAAGGCCUUCGGGUUGUAAAGUACUUUCAGCGGGGAGACGUUACCCACAGAGGAAGCACCGGCUAACUCCGUGCCAGCAGCCGCGGUAAUUC
RNAcentral lists this ribosomal RNA (406 nucleotides) under uncultured bacterium. RNAcentral describes it as "partial 16S ribosomal RNA". It matches the Rfam family "Bacterial small subunit ribosomal RNA", at positions 30 to 526 of the family's 1533-position model. The record is from RNAcentral.